UGACCGCUGGCGGCGUGCCUACUACAUGCACAUCGAGCGAACAGACGAGGAGCUUGCUCCUCUGACGUUAGCGGCGGACGGGUGUGUAACACGUGGAUAACCUACCUAUAAGACUGGGAUAACUUCGGGAAACCGGAGCUAAUACCGGAUAAUAUAUUGAACCGCAUGGUUCAAUAGUGAAAGACGGUUUUGCUGUCACUUAUAGAUGGAUCCGCGCCGCAUUAGCUAGUUGGUAAGGUAACGGCUUACCAAGGCAACGAUGCGUAGCCGACCUGAGAGGGUGAUCGGCCACACUGGAACUGAGACACGGUCCAGACUCCUACGGGAGGCAGCAGUAGGGAAUCUUCCGCAAUGGGCGAAAGCUUGACGGAGCAACGCCGCGUGAGUGAUGAAGGUCUUCGGAUCGUAAAACUCUGUUAUUAGGGAAGAACAAAUGUGUAAGUAACUAUGCACGUCUUGACGGUACCUAAUCAGAAAGCCACGGCUAACUACGUG
Molecule: ribosomal RNA, 495 nt
Filed under: uncultured bacterium
Lineage: Bacteria
Description: partial 16S ribosomal RNA
Rfam family: Bacterial small subunit ribosomal RNA
Source: RNAcentral